RNAcentral lists this ribosomal RNA (468 nucleotides) under uncultured bacterium. RNAcentral describes it as "partial 16S ribosomal RNA". It matches the Rfam family "Bacterial small subunit ribosomal RNA", at positions 28 to 507 of the family's 1533-position model. The record is from RNAcentral.
GACGAACGCUGGCGGCGUGCUUAACACAUGCAAGUCGAACGGAAAGGCCCUGCUUUUGUGGGGUGCUCGAGUGGCGAACGGGUGAGUAACACGUGAGUAACCUGCCCUUGACUUUGGGAUAACUUCAGGAAACUGGGGCUAAUACCGGAUAGGAGCUCCUGCUGCAUGGUGGGGGUUGGAAAGUUUCGGCGGUUGGGGAUGGACUCGCGGCUUAUCAGCUUGUUGGUGGGGUAGUGGCUUACCAAGGCUUUGACGGGUAGCCGGCCUGAGAGGGUGACCGGGCACAUUGGGACUGAGAUACGGCCCAGACUCCUACGGGAGGCAGCAGUGGGGAAUCUUGCACAAUGGGCGGAAGCCUGAUGCAGCAACGCCGCGUGCGGGAUGCCGGCCUUCGGGUUGUAAACCGCUUUCGCCUGUGACGAAGCGUGAGUGACGGUAAUGGGUAAAGAAGCACCGGCUAACUACGUG